GACGAACGCUGGCGGCGUGCCUAAUACAUGCAAGUUGAGCGCUGAAGGUUGGUACUUGUACCAACUGGAUGAGCAGCGAACGGGUGAGUAACGCGUGGGGAAUCUGCCUUUGAGCGGGGGACAACAUUUGGAAACGAAUGCUAAUACCGCAUAAAAACUUUAAACACAAGUUUUAAGUUUGAAAGAUGCAAUUGCAUCACUCAAAGAUGAUCCCGCGUUGUAUUAGCUAGUUGGUGAGGUAAAGGCUCACCAAGGCGAUGAUACAUAGCCGACCUGAGAGGGUGAUCGGCCACAUUGGGACUGAGACACGGCCCAAACUCCUACGGGAGGCAGCAGUAGGGAAUCUUCGGCAAUGGACGAAAGUCUGACCGAGCAACGCCGCGUGAGGGAAGAAGGGUUUCGGAUCGUAAAACUCGGUUGGUAGAGAAGAACGUUGGUGAGAGUGGAAAGCUCAUCAAGUGACGGUAACUACCCAGAAAGGGACGGCUAACUACGUG
RNAcentral lists this ribosomal RNA (497 nucleotides) under uncultured bacterium. RNAcentral describes it as "partial 16S ribosomal RNA". It matches the Rfam family "Bacterial small subunit ribosomal RNA", at positions 28 to 507 of the family's 1533-position model. The record is from RNAcentral.